UUUUCGGGAUAGAGCAAAGAUGACUCUACUUUACAAAAAAUAUAUAGGUGUCAUUAAGCUUAAUCAGAAACAUGCAUGCCCCAGGUGCUCAUGCAAAAUUCAACUGAUACCAAAAGUUUUGGCUUUCAGAAAAGACAUACUACUAUCAAUGGGUAAGAAUCCUGCUAAAAGGCUUGCAAAAAGAAGCAAGAAAAUGCCCUAAAAUUCCGACUUUUCUUUCUUCUCUUUUUGUAGCUUACCCAGAAAGAAAGGUUUAAGAGGAUCUCUAUCAUCUUCUAAAUAUACUCUGGCUGGAGUGCCAACUAUAUGGAUGUAGAUUUUGCUAGGUCAAAUGAAAUGCAAAUUGUAUUCUUUAUUUUUUCUUUUCCUUAUCUGUGAAAAUGAACUUGAUACUCCAUCUAGUCCUUAUCAAUUUAUACAACAGUUUUUUCGGUUGUUUUGAGCUCUGAAGUAGUUUGACACUAUCCUACUAAUAAUAUUAUUUCAUACAACCUCCGAAUGUUUCUGGAAUUCAAAUCUAGCCAACUUAUUAAUCAAAUUUGAGUUCAUAUAAUGUUUUAUUUUUC
Molecule: long non-coding RNA, 566 nt
Filed under: Nicotiana benthamiana
Lineage: Eukaryota; Viridiplantae; Streptophyta; Magnoliopsida; Solanales; Solanaceae
Description: long non-coding RNA (NBEN_LNC037698)
Source: RNAcentral